This is a long non-coding RNA of Etheostoma spectabile (orangethroat darter), 77 nucleotides long. RefSeq lists it as uncharacterized. The record is from RefSeq and is a predicted model, not a curated record. The transcript has 4 exons. Lineage: Eukaryota; Metazoa; Chordata; Actinopteri; Perciformes; Percidae.
AGGUUAGCUACUGUUAGCAAUGCCAGUUUAUGACAACGCAUUACGCUAAUUUUUGUUGUAUUAACUAUGAGAGUCUA